This 314-nucleotide ribosomal RNA is filed under the name uncultured soil bacterium. Its description in RNAcentral is "bacterial SSU rRNA". It matches the Rfam family "Bacterial small subunit ribosomal RNA", at positions 26 to 368 of the family's 1533-position model. The record is from RNAcentral.
AGAACGAACGCUGGCGGCAUGCCUAAUACAUGCAAGUCGAACGAACUCUUCGGAGUUAGUGGCGCACGGGUGCGUAACGCGUGGGAAUCUGCCCCUUGGUCCGGAAUAACAGUUGGAAACGACUGCUAAUACCGGAUGAUGACGAAAGUCCAAAGAUUUAUCGCCAAGGGAUGAGCCCGCGUAGGAUUAGCUAGUUGGUGAGGUAAAGGCUCACCAAGGCAACGAUCCUUAGCUGGUCUGAGAGGAUGAUCAGCCACACUGGGACUGAGACACGGCCCAGACUCCGUACGGGAGCAGCAGUAGGGAAUAUGGAC